CGGGGUGUGGCUCAGCUUGGCUAGAGCGCCUGGUUUGGGACCAGGAGGUCGCAGGUUCAAAUCCUGUCACCCCGAUCA
Molecule: transfer RNA, 78 nt
Filed under: Lachnoclostridium sp. An118
Lineage: Bacteria; Bacillati; Bacillota; Clostridia; Lachnospirales; Lachnospiraceae
Description: tRNA-Pro
Rfam family: tRNA
About the family: Transfer RNA (tRNA) molecules are approximately 80 nucleotides in length. Their secondary structure includes four short double-helical elements and three loops (D, anti-codon, and T loops). Further hydrogen bonds mediate the characteristic L-shaped molecular structure. tRNAs have two regions of fundamental functional importance: the anti-codon, which is responsible for specific mRNA codon recognition, and the 3' end, to which the tRNAs corresponding amino acid is attached (by aminoacyl-tRNA synthetases). tRNAs cope with the degeneracy of the genetic code in two manners: having more than one tRNA (with a specific anti-codon) for a particular amino acid; and 'wobble' base-pairing, i.e. permitting non-standard base-pairing at the 3rd anti-codon position.
Source: RNAcentral